This 487-nucleotide ribosomal RNA is filed under the name Segatella oris. RNAcentral's name for it is "bacterial SSU rRNA". It matches the Rfam family "Bacterial small subunit ribosomal RNA", at positions 28 to 504 of the family's 1533-position model. The record is from RNAcentral. Lineage: Bacteria; Pseudomonadati; Bacteroidota; Bacteroidia; Bacteroidales; Prevotellaceae.
GAUGAACGCUGGCUACAGGCUUAACACAUGCAAGUCGAGGGGAAACGACGGGGAAGCUUGCUUCCCCGGGCGUCGACCGGCGCACGGGUGAGUAACGCGUAUCCAACCUGCCUCUGACUGAGGGAUAACCCGUCGAAAGUCGGCCUAAUACCUCAUGGCAUCGUCUGCGGGCAUCCAACGACGAUUAAAGAUUUCAUCGGUCAGGGAUGGGGAUGCGUCUGAUUAGCUAGUUGGCGGGGCGACGGCCCACCAAGGCGACGAUCAGUGGGGGUUCUGAGAGGAAGGUCCCCCACAUUGGAACUGAGACACGGUCCAAACUCCUACGGGAGGCAGCAGUGAGGAAUAUUGGUCAAUGGGCGGAAGCCUGAACCAGCCAAGUAGCGUGCAGGAGGACGGCCCUAUGGGUUGUAAACUGCUUUUAUGCGGGGAUAAAGUGAGGGACGUGUCCCUUUUUGCAGGUACCGCAUGAAUAAGGACCGCUAAUUCC